AUGUCGGUGAAUUUAGAGCAGAGCAGUCCAAAAACCAUUCACAGUUUUCCCAAUUUCAUUGGCACUGAGAUGAGAUUUGGACCAGAAAACGAAAGGCAUGGGAUGGGAGGGCGCAGGAUACGCACUUUUGUCAAACCACACCCACCCGCAGGUCAUCAGCUUUGGGUCAUGUGCUGUGCUCAGUCGAAGCACAUGCAGAGGGACAAAAGCCUCACACUUUUUAAAGGGAAAACCCUGCCCUUUUAUUAA
Molecule: long non-coding RNA, 249 nt
Filed under: Prunus dulcis (almond)
Lineage: Eukaryota; Viridiplantae; Streptophyta; Magnoliopsida; Rosales; Rosaceae
Description: sRNA ncRNA
Source: RNAcentral